GGACCCGCACAAGUAGUGGAGCAUGUGGUUUAAUUCGAUGCAACGCGAAAAACCUUACCUACUCUUGACAUACUUGGAAGCUCUUGUAAUGAGAGUGUGCCUUUUGGAACCAAGAUACAGGUGCUGCAUGGCUGUCGUCAGCUCGUGUCGUGAGAUGUUCCGUUAAGUCGGAUAACGAGCGCAACCCUUACCCUUAUUUGCCAGCGAUUCGGUCGGGAACUAUAAGGGGACUGCCGGUGAUAAACCGGAGGAAGGUGAGGACGACGUCAAGUCAUCAUGGCCCUUACGAGUAGGGCUAUACACGUGCUACAAUGGGGAAUACAGACGGACGCUAAGCCGCGAGGUGGUGCUAAUCCUAGAAAGUUUCUCGUAGUCCGGAUUGGAGUCUGCAACUCGACUCCAUGAAGUCGGAAUCGCUAGUAAUCG
RNAcentral lists this ribosomal RNA (426 nucleotides) under uncultured bacterium. RNAcentral describes it as "bacterial SSU rRNA". It matches the Rfam family "Bacterial small subunit ribosomal RNA", at positions 917 to 1344 of the family's 1533-position model. The record is from RNAcentral.